RNAcentral lists this ribosomal RNA (494 nucleotides) under uncultured bacterium. Its description in RNAcentral is "partial 16S ribosomal RNA". It matches the Rfam family "Bacterial small subunit ribosomal RNA", at positions 29 to 523 of the family's 1533-position model. The record is from RNAcentral.
AAUGAACGCUGGCGGCGUGCCUAACACAUGCAAGUCGAACGAGAAAGCCCGCAAGGGUGAGUACAGUGGCGCACGGGUGAGUAAUACAUAGGAAUCUGCCUCUGAGUGAAGAAUACCCUAGAGAAAUUUAGGUUAAUACUGCAUAAGCCCAGAAAUGGGGAAAGGUGGCCUCAAGCUACCGCUGAGAGAUGAGCCUAUGGCCUAUUAGCUAGUUGGUAGGGUAAAAGCCUACCAAGGCGACGAUCCGUAGCUGGUCUGAGAGGAUGAUCAGCCACACUGGAACUGAGACACGGUCCAGACUCCUACGGGAGGCAGCAGUGGGGAAUAUUGGACAAUGGGCGCAAGCCUGAUCCAGCCAUACCGCGUGGGUGAAGAAGGCCUUCGGGUUGUAAAGCCCUUUUGUUGGGAAAGAAAUCCAGCUGGCUAAUACCCGGUUGGGAUGACGGUACCCAAAGAAUAAGCACCGGCUAACUUCGUGCCAGCCGCCGCAGUAA